Molecule: ribosomal RNA, 324 nt
Filed under: uncultured eukaryote
Lineage: Eukaryota
Description: partial 18S ribosomal RNA
Rfam family: Eukaryotic small subunit ribosomal RNA
Source: RNAcentral
CCCUUAGAUGUCCUGGGCUGCACGCGCGCUACACUGAUGUGUCCAGUAAGCACCUAACCUAUUCCGAGAGGAGCGGGUAACCUUAGCAAAGCACAUCGUGAUGGGGAUAGAUUAUUGCAAUUAUUAGUCUUGAACGAGGAAUUCCUAGUAAGCACAAGUCAUCAGCUUGUGUUGAUUACGUCCCUGCCCUUUGUACACACCGCCCGUCGCUCCUACCGAUUGAAUGUUCCGGUGAGCUCUUCGGACUGCGCGGUCUGCAGUUUCUACGUUCCGUGCGGAAAGUUGUGCAAACCUUAACAUUUAGAGGAAGGAGAAGUCGUAACA